GGGUUAGUUUUUCUCUUUGGUUAUCUAGCUGUAUGAGUUAUGAAAUAUCAUAAAGCUAGAGAACCGAAAGUAGAAACUAUACCU
Molecule: microRNA precursor, 84 nt
Organism: Danio rerio (zebrafish)
Lineage: Eukaryota; Metazoa; Chordata; Actinopteri; Cypriniformes; Danionidae
Gene: mir9-7
Product: microRNA 9-7
Source: Ensembl